GCGGCGGACGGGUGAGUAACACGUGGGUAACCUACCUAUAAGACUGGGAUAACUCCGGGAAACCGGGGCUAAUACCGGAUAAUAUUUUGAACCGCAUGGUUCAAUAGUGAAAGACGGUUUCGGCUGUCACUUAUAGAUGGACCCGCGCCGUAUUAGCUAGUUGGUAAGGUAACGGCUUACCAAGGCGACGAUACGUAGCCGACCUGAGAGGGUGAUCGGCCACACUGGAACUGAGACACGGUCCAGACUCCUACGGGAGGCAGCAGUAGGGAAUCUUCCGCAAUGGGCGAAAGCCUGACGGAGCAACGCCGCGUGAGUGAUGAAGGUCUUCGGAUCGUAAAACUCUGUUGUUAGGGAAGAACAAAUUUGUUAGUAACUGAACAAGUCUUGACGGUACCUAACCAGAAAGCCACGGCUAACUACGUGCCAGCAGCCGCGGUAAUACGUAGGUGGCAAGCGUUAUCCGGAAUUAUUGGGCGUAAAGCGCGCGUAGGCGGUUUCUUAAGUCUG
Molecule: ribosomal RNA, 510 nt
Filed under: Staphylococcus sp.
Lineage: Bacteria; Bacillati; Bacillota; Bacilli; Caryophanales; Staphylococcaceae
Description: bacterial SSU rRNA
Rfam family: Bacterial small subunit ribosomal RNA
Source: RNAcentral